RNAcentral lists this long non-coding RNA (2478 nucleotides) under Salmo salar (Atlantic salmon). RNAcentral describes it as "lncRNA (ENSSSAG00000111718.1)". The record is from RNAcentral. Lineage: Eukaryota; Metazoa; Chordata; Actinopteri; Salmoniformes; Salmonidae.
GUCCAUAUCACUCCAUACUGUACCCCAGUCAGAUUAUAGUCCAUAUCACUCCAUACUGUACCCCAGUCAGAUUAUAGUCCAUAUCACUCCAUACUGUACCCCAGUCAGAUUAUAGUCCAUAUCACUCCAUACUGUACCCCAGUCAGAUCACUCUUCAGAGGUACAGGCUUCUCUGCAGGCAGUAUUUACUCAGUACUAUAUCUUCAGAGGUACAGGCUUCUCUGUGCUCCAGUAGUUGGUACCAACAUGUAGUAAUAACAUAGUACAAACAAAGUACAAAUAUAUGGUGUAUUGUAACUGAGUAAAUAUUACUGUGGAAGGGUUGAUUGAAUAUGGUCCCUCCUCGUCCUUCACCAUCUCACCCAGGCCAGAGAUGAUAAGUGUGUAUGAUCUCGUAAGCCAUAAUGCCAUUGUUACACGUCAGGGGUAGGUGGGAGAAGAGAUGCCCAAACACCUCCAAAAUGAAGGUACACAUUGUAUUUCAGGGUGCUUCAUAGUAUCUGAGUUAACGUUUGCUUGGCUCUUCUCAGUUUAAUUCCAUAAGUGUAACACCGACCUUCACUGAGGUAGUGUUCUCCCUGUGAGCCAGUCAGCCGUCCUGUCCCAAUCCGUUAGUAGAGUAUUCAGUCAGCCGUCCUGUCCCAGUCCGUUAGUAGAGUAUUCAGCCAGCCGUCCUGUCCCAGUCUGUUAGUAGAGUAUUCAGCCAGCCGUCCUGUCCCAGUCCGUUAGUAGAGUAUUCAGCCAGCCGUCCUGUCCCAAUCCGUUAGUAGAGUAUUCAGCCAGCCGUCCUGUCCCAAUCCGUUAGUAGAGUAUUCAGUCAGCCGUCCUGUCCCAGUCCGUUAGUAGAGUAUUCAGCCAGCCGUCCUGUCCCAAUCCGUUAGUAGAGUAUUCAGUCAGCCGUCCUGUCCCAGUCCGUUAGUAGAGUAUUCAGUCAGCCGUCCUGUCCCAAUCCGUUAGUAGAGUAUUCAGCCAGCCGUCCUGUCCCAGUCCGUUAGUAGAGUAUUCAGCCAGCCGUCCUGUCCCAGUCCGUUAGUAGAGUAUUCAGCCAGCCGUCCUGUCCCAGUCCGUUAGUAGAGUAUUCAGUCAGCCGUCCUGUCCCAAUCCGUUAGUAAAGUAUUCAGCCAGCCGUCCUGUCCCAGUCCGUUAGUAGAGUAUUCAGCCAGCCGUCCUGUCCCAGUCCGUUAGUAGAGUAUUCAGCCAGCCGUCCUGUCCCAAUCCGUUAGUAGAGUAUUCAGCCAGCUGUCCUGUCCCAGUCCGUUAGUAGAGUAUUCAGUCAGCCGUCCUGUCCCAAUCCGUUAGUAAAGUAUUCAGCCAGCCGUCCUGUCCCAGUCCGUUAGUAGAGUAUUCAGCCAGCCGUCCUGUCCCAGUCCGUUAGUAGAGUAUUCAGCCAGCCGUCCUGUCCCAAUCCGUUAGUAAAGUAUUCAGCCAGCCGUCCUGUCCCAGUCCGUUAGUAGAGUAUUCAGUCAGCCGUCCUGUCCCAAUCCGUUAGUAAAGUAUUCAGUCAGCCGUCCUGUCCCAGUCCGUUAGUAAAGUAUUCAGCCAGCCGUCCUGUCCCAGUCCGUUAGUAGAGUAUUCAGCCAGCCGUCCUGUCCCAAUCCUAUAGUAUUCAGCCAGCCGCCCUGUCCCAGUCUGUUAGUAGAGUAUUCAGCCAGCUGUCCUGUCCCAGUCCGUUAGUAGAGUAUUCAGCCAGCCGUCCUGUCCCAGUCCGUUAGUAGAGUAUUCAGCCAGCCGUCCUGUCCCAGUCCAUUAGUAAAGUAUUCAGCCAGCCGUCCUGUCCCAGUCCGUUAGUAUUCAGCCAGCCGUCCUGUCCCAAUCCGUUAGUAGAGUAUUCAGCCAGCCGUCCUGUCCCAAUCCGUUAGUAGAGUAUUCAGCCAGCCGUCCUGUCCCAAUCCUAGAGUAUUCAGCCAGCCGUCCUGUCCCAGUCUGUUAGUAGAGUAUUCAGCCAGCCGUCCUGUCCCAGUCCGUUAGUAGAGUAUUCAGCCAGCCGUCCUGUCCCAAUCCGUUAGUAGAGUAUUCAGCCAGCCGUCCUGUCCCAGUCUGUUAGUAGAGUAUUCAGCCAGCCGUCCUGUCCCAGUCUGUUAGUAGAGUAUUCAGCCCAUCUCUCUGUGUGUCUGUGAGAGUGGAUUAACGUCAUGUCUGUCACCAUACAUCCCUAAAGUCACCCUAUUCCCUAUGCAGUGCACUGGGAUUUACUUUGACCAGUAGGGCUCUGGUCAAAAGUAGUGCACUAUAUAGGGAAUAGGGUGCCAAUUGGGAUAAAAGCUUGAUCAUCAUCCAUCCAGUACCUUUGUUGAAACGUUCCUCCUAAAACAAAGCUGCCAAAUUGGUUUGAAGCCAAAAGUUGUGUUUCUCUGUGUGUUUAACUGGUUUAAGUGUUUCAGUUUAAACCUCGUCCCUUUACAAUGUUACAUUGUUGUUUUUAUUGGAAAAUGAUAUUUGUUUAAUUGUUGAUAUCUUCAGAAGAUCAUAAGAGUUGUG